AACCUUAUGGACCUGCGGGCGUAUACCUGCGGAGGGAUCAUUACUCAGCAAAUAUGCUUUUGUGCAAUUGCGUGCCGUCGCCAGAAAGCAGCCAGGGCCCGCCUUACCUUUUGGGACGGCGGGGCUUCUCUGUCAGUAAGCUUCGGUCCAUGCAUGUACUUAUACCCUUGUCUUUUGCGUACUACUUGUUUCCUCGGCAGGCUUGCCUGCCGACUGGACAUUAUAAACUCUUUUUUUUGU
RNAcentral lists this unclassified non-coding RNA (240 nucleotides) under soil metagenome. RNAcentral describes it as "partial contains 5.8S ribosomal RNA, internal transcribed spacer 2, and large subunit ribosomal RNA". The record is from RNAcentral.